GAUGAACACUGGCGGCGUGCCUAAUACAUGCAAGUCGAGCGAACAGACGAGGAGCUUGCUCCUCUGACGUUAGCGGCGGACGGGUGAGUAACACGUGGAUAACCUACCUAUAAGACUGGGAUAACUUCGGGAAACCGGAGCUAAUACCGGAUAAUAUAUUGAACCGCAUGGUUCAAUAGUGAAAGACGGUUUUGCUGUCACUUAUAGAUGGAUCCGCGCCGCAUUAGCUAGUUGGUAAGGUAACGGCUUACCAAGGCAACGAUGCGUAGCCGACCUGAGAGGGUGAUCGGCCACACUGGAACUGAGACACGGUCCAGACUCCUACGGGAGGCAGCAGUAGGGAAUCUUCCGCAAUGGGCGAAAGCUUGACGGAGCAACGCCGCGUGAGUGAUGAAGGUCUUCGGAUCGUAAAACUCUGUUAUUAGGGAAGAACAAAUGUGUAAGUAACUAUGCACGUCUUGACGGUACCUAAUCAGAAAGCCACGGCUAACUACGUG
This 497-nucleotide ribosomal RNA is filed under the name uncultured bacterium. RNAcentral's name for it is "partial 16S ribosomal RNA". It matches the Rfam family "Bacterial small subunit ribosomal RNA", at positions 28 to 507 of the family's 1533-position model. The record is from RNAcentral.